Molecule: non-coding RNA, 111 nt
Organism: Caerostris darwini
Lineage: Eukaryota; Metazoa; Arthropoda; Arachnida; Araneae; Araneidae
Source: the annotation of a GenBank genome assembly
AACGACCAUGCCGUGCUGAAUAUACCGGUUCUCGUUAGAUCACCGAAGUCAAGCAUCAUUGGGCGUGGUCAGUACUUCGGUGGUGGCCACCUGGGAACACCGCGUGCCGUU